UAAAGUCAAGAUUUUCGUGUGGUUAGUAUUGAAAAAUAAAGUUCUAAAAGUGGACAAUCUUCAGAGAAGGGGCUGGAGCGGGGAUGACCGAUGUGUAUAUUGUUUGGAGGAAUUGGAGACGGUGGAUCACCUGUUUGCAGUGUGCGAUGGGGUCAAACCUCUGUUGGAGAGUCUUUUACCUAACAAACGUUUUGUAUGUAACUGUGCUACUGUCAAGGGGAUCUGGGAGGGGAGCGACAGCAUCGGAGGAGCACAGGGGGGUAAAGAGUUAGCGAUUAUUGCCGCUACUUGGUGGACCCUCUGGCUGGAAAGGAG
This 315-nucleotide long non-coding RNA is filed under the name Ananas comosus (pineapple). RNAcentral's name for it is "long non-coding RNA (ACOM_LNC030830)". Lineage: Eukaryota; Viridiplantae; Streptophyta; Magnoliopsida; Poales; Bromeliaceae. The record is from RNAcentral.